UCGUUGAUUUCACACUGCCGAGAAAAGCCUCUAGAUAGAAAAUAGGUGCCCGUACCGCAAACCGACACAGGUAGUCAAGAUGAGAAUUCUAAGGUGAGCGAGCGAACUCUCGUUAAGGAACUCGGCAAAAUGACCCCGUAACUUCGGGAGAAGGGGUGCUCUUUAGGGUUAACGCCCAGAAGAGCCGCAGUGAAUAGGCCCAAGCGACUGUUUAUCAAAAACACAGGUCUCUGCUAAACCGUAAGGUGAUGUAUAGGGGCUGACGCCUGCCCGGUGCUGGAAGGUUAAGAGGAGUGGUUAGCUUCUGCGAAGCUACGAAUCGAAGCCCCAGUAAACGGCGGCCGUAACUAUAACGGUCCUAAGGUAGCGAAAUUCCUUGUCGGGUAAGUUCCGACCCGCACGAAAGGCGUAACGAUUUGGGCACUGUCUCAACGAGAGACUCGGUGAAAUCAUAGUACCUGUGAAGAUGCAGGUUACCCGCGACAGGACGGAAAGACCCCGUGGAGCUUUACUGUAGCCUGAUAUUGAAAUUCGGCACAGCUUGUACAGGAUAGGUA
Molecule: ribosomal RNA, 557 nt
Filed under: Staphylococcus aureus
Lineage: Bacteria; Bacillati; Bacillota; Bacilli; Caryophanales; Staphylococcaceae
Description: partial 23S ribosomal RNA
Rfam family: Bacterial large subunit ribosomal RNA
Source: RNAcentral